GCUUUCAUCGCUCAGUUGGUUAGAUCACCUGUUUAGUAAACCGGAGGUCUUGAGUUGGCUUUUUCAAUGAAAGCA
RNAcentral lists this transfer RNA (75 nucleotides) under Amborella trichopoda. It matches the Rfam family "tRNA". Rfam says of the family: Transfer RNA (tRNA) molecules are approximately 80 nucleotides in length. Their secondary structure includes four short double-helical elements and three loops (D, anti-codon, and T loops). The record is from Rfam by way of RNAcentral. Lineage: Eukaryota; Viridiplantae; Streptophyta; Magnoliopsida; Amborellales; Amborellaceae.